GAUGAACGCUGGCGGCGUGCCUAAUACAUGCAAGUCGAGCGAACAGACGAGGAGCUUGCUCCUCUGACGUUAGCGGCGGACGGGUGAGUAACACGUGGAUACCCUCCCUAUAAGACUGGGAUAACUUCGGGAAACCGGAGCUAAUACCGGAUAAUAUAUUGAACCGCAUGGUUCAAUAGUGAAAGACGGUUUUGCUGUCACUUCUAGAUGGAUCCGCGCCGCAUUAGCUAGUUGGUAAGGUAACGGGUUACCAAGGCGACGAUGCGUAGCCGAGCUGAGAGGGUGAUCGGCGACACUGGAACUGAGACACGGUCCAGACUCCUACGGGAGGCAGCAGUAGGGAAUCGUCCGCAAUGGGCGAAAGCCUGACGGAGCAACGCCGCGUGAGUGAUGAAGGUCUUCGGAUCGUAAAACUCUGUUAUUAGGGAAGAACAAAUGUGUAAGUAACUAUGCACGUCUUGACGGUACCUAAUCAGAAAGCCACGGCUAACUACGUG
This 497-nucleotide ribosomal RNA is filed under the name uncultured bacterium. RNAcentral describes it as "partial 16S ribosomal RNA". It matches the Rfam family "Bacterial small subunit ribosomal RNA", at positions 28 to 507 of the family's 1533-position model. The record is from RNAcentral.